GGAUUGCAGCUCAGUGGUAGAGCGCUUGCUUAGCAUGUGUGGGGCCCUGGAUUCAAUUCUCAGCACCG
This 68-nucleotide transfer RNA is filed under the name Marmota monax (woodchuck). RNAcentral's name for it is "tRNA.Ala". The record is from RNAcentral. Lineage: Eukaryota; Metazoa; Chordata; Mammalia; Rodentia; Sciuridae.